UAUAUUUGCAAACUCAAUGAAAAAACAUUGACAUACAUAAUAAUCAUUUAAAUAAUAUUGGCAUG
Molecule: non-coding RNA, 65 nt
Filed under: unclassified sequences
Also listed under: 1 other name
Description: S15-Flavobacteria ribosomal protein leader
Rfam family: S15-Flavobacteria ribosomal protein leader
Source: RNAcentral